RNAcentral lists this transfer RNA (104 nucleotides) under Drepanopeziza brunnea f. sp. 'multigermtubi' MB_m1. Its description in RNAcentral is "Marssonina brunnea f. sp. 'multigermtubi' MB_m1 tRNA". It matches the Rfam family "tRNA". Rfam says of the family: Transfer RNA (tRNA) molecules are approximately 80 nucleotides in length. The record is from Rfam by way of RNAcentral. Lineage: Eukaryota; Fungi; Ascomycota; Leotiomycetes; Helotiales; Drepanopezizaceae.
GGGCAUAUGGUUUAGUGGUAUAAUACUCCCUUAGCAUGCGGCGGCGCCGGGCAGCGUACGGCACGAAGUGGGAGUGGUCCUGGGUUCGAUUCCCAGUUUGUCCA